RNAcentral lists this transfer RNA (72 nucleotides) under Candidatus Woesebacteria bacterium. RNAcentral's name for it is "tRNA-Ile". It matches the Rfam family "tRNA". From Rfam's summary of the family: Transfer RNA (tRNA) molecules are approximately 80 nucleotides in length. Their secondary structure includes four short double-helical elements and three loops (D, anti-codon, and T loops). Further hydrogen bonds mediate the characteristic L-shaped molecular structure. tRNAs have two regions of fundamental functional importance: the anti-codon, which is responsible for specific mRNA codon recognition, and the 3' end, to which the tRNAs corresponding amino acid is attached (by aminoacyl-tRNA synthetases). tRNAs cope with the degeneracy of the genetic code in two manners: having more than one tRNA (with a specific anti-codon) for a particular amino acid; and 'wobble' base-pairing, i.e. permitting non-standard base-pairing at the 3rd anti-codon position. The record is from RNAcentral. Lineage: Bacteria; Candidatus Woeseibacteriota.
GCGUCCGUAGCUCAGUGGUAGAGCGAUUGUCUUAUACACAAUUGGUCGGUGGUUCGAACCCAUCCGGACGCA